ACAAAAUUCUCACCUGUACUUCAAUAGCCAAUUAAAAGCUCCCACCUGCCGUAGUUAAAGUUGCCUGGUGUUUAAAAGGCGUGGGGGUGGGGUUGUAUUAGGUUAGGUUGGGUCGGGUUGGGAGCUUAGAUUAGGUUAGUGUAGGGUAGGUUUGGUUAGGUUGGGUUUGCUAAGGUUAGGUUGGGAGGUUAAGUUAGGGUAGGUUACGUUAGGCUAGGUUGGGUUGGGAGCUUCGGUUAGUGUAGGGUAGGUUUGGUUAGGUUGGGCAAUUAGGUUAUAGGUUGGGAGCUUAGAUUAGGAGGUUAGGUUGGGAGCUUAGGUUAUAGGUUGGAAGGUUAGAUUAGGUUAGGUUAGAUUGGGAGGUUACGUUAGGCUAAGUUAGGUUAGGUUGGGAGGUUACAUUUGAUUAAGCUAGGUUGGGAGCUUAGAUUAUAGGUUGGGAGGUCAAAUUAGGUUAGGAUGGGAGGUUACGUUAGAUUAAGCUAGGUUGGGAGCUUAGAUUAUAGGUUGGGAGGUCAGAUUAGGUUAGAAUGGGAGGUUAAGUUAGGUUAGGAUGGGAGGUUACGUUAGAUUAAGUUAGGUUGGGAGCUUAGAUUAUAGGUUGGGAGGUCAGAUUAGGUUAGAAUGGGAGGUUAAGUUAGGUUAGGUUGGGAGCUUAGGUUAGGUUAGGUUAGAUUGAGAGGCUACGUUAGGUUAGGUUAGGUUAGAUUGAGAGGUUACGUUAAGUUAGGUUAGGUUAGGUUACGUUGGAAGUGGAGUUGUAUAGUUAGUUGAUGGAAUAAUAUAGAAUAGAGUGAAAAACGUUUAGUAAUGCCUGCCCGUGAGAAGUCAUUACCUUUUCCAUAGUUCAAGUUACCUGGUGUUGAUAAAUUUAAAAGUGUAGGAGUGUGAAGUUGUAGGAAGUUGCUGGAACAGUGGGAUAUAAAGUGAACUAUAUGAAUGAAUAGAUUAGAUUAGAAUAUGAAGGGAAUAGAAUUGAAUAUGAAGUGAAAUAUGUAGAAGAAUGAAUUAGAAUAAGGUGGAAUGAGUGAAGUAUUUUGGUUUUGCUAUUUAUAUUUCUUGUGUGCGAUAUUUGAAUGCAAUUGUCAUGGCGUCUUUUUUUUUUUUUGUGUGUGUGUGUGUGUGUGUGGGUG
Eriocheir sinensis (Chinese mitten crab) is the source of this 1133-nucleotide long non-coding RNA. RefSeq lists it as uncharacterized. The transcript has 3 exons. NCBI's taxonomy places the organism in Eukaryota, Metazoa, Arthropoda, Malacostraca, Decapoda, Varunidae. The record is from RefSeq and is a predicted model, not a curated record.